AACGAACGCUGGCGGCAGGCUUAACACAUGCAAGUCGAACGCCCCGCAAGGGGAGUGGCCGACGGGUGAGUAACGCGUGGGAACAUACCCUUUUCUACGGAAUAGCUCUGGGAAACUGGAAUUAAUACCGUAUACGCCCUACGGGGGAAAGAUUUAUCGGGGAAGGAUUGGCCCGCGUUGGAUUAGCUAGUUGGUGGGGUAAAGGCCUACCAAGGCGACGAUCCAUAGCUGGUCUGAGAGGAUGAUCAGCCACAUUGGGACUGAGACACGGACCAAACUCCUACGGGAGGCAGCAGUGGGGAAUAUUGGAAAAUGGGCGCAAGCCUGAUACAGCCAUGACGCGUGAGUGAUGAAGGCCUUAGGGUUGUAAAGCUCUUUCACCGAUGAAGAUAAUGACGGUAGUCGGAGAAGAAGCCCCGGCUAACUUCGUG
Molecule: ribosomal RNA, 431 nt
Filed under: uncultured bacterium
Lineage: Bacteria
Description: partial 16S ribosomal RNA
Rfam family: Bacterial small subunit ribosomal RNA
Source: RNAcentral